CAGGCGGUACGUUAGGUCUGUCGUGAAAUCCCCAGGCUCAACCUGGGNAUGGCGGUGGAAACCGGCGCACUAGAGUNUGGGAGAGGGUGGUGGNAUUCCAGGUGUAGCGGUSAAAUGCGUAGAGAUCUGGAGGAACAUCAGUGGCGAAGGCGCCACCUGGCCCAAUACUGACGCUGAGGCACSAAAGCGUGGGGAGCAAACAGGAUUAGAUACCCUNGUAGUCCACGCCCUMAACGAUGAAUACUAGAUGUUUGGUACCUAGCGUMCUSAGUGUCGUASUAACGCGAUAAGUAUUCCGCCUNGNAAGUACGGCCGC
RNAcentral lists this ribosomal RNA (316 nucleotides) under Acidithiobacillus ferrooxidans. Its description in RNAcentral is "16S ribosomal RNA". It matches the Rfam family "Bacterial small subunit ribosomal RNA", at positions 572 to 889 of the family's 1533-position model. The record is from RNAcentral. Lineage: Bacteria; Pseudomonadati; Pseudomonadota; Acidithiobacillia; Acidithiobacillales; Acidithiobacillaceae.